RNAcentral lists this ribosomal RNA (265 nucleotides) under uncultured bacterium. Its description in RNAcentral is "partial 16S ribosomal RNA". It matches the Rfam family "Bacterial small subunit ribosomal RNA", at positions 333 to 594 of the family's 1533-position model. The record is from RNAcentral.
UUGUGCCUACGGGAGGCAGCAGUGAGGAAUAUUGGUCAAUGGGCGCGAGCCUGAACCAGCCAAGUCGCGUGAGGGAUGACGGCCCUACGGGUUGUAAACCUCUUUUGCCGGGGAGCAACGGGCGCCACGUGUGGCGCCACUGAGAGUAUCCGGAGAAAAAGCAUCGGCUAACUCCGUGACAGCAGCCGCGGUAAUACGGAGGAUACGAGCGUUAUCCGGAUUUAUUGGGUUUAAAGGGUGCGUAGGCGGUCCGUUAAGUCAGCGG